Non-coding RNA from Ruditapes philippinarum (Manila clam), 78 nucleotides. The record is from the annotation of a RefSeq genome assembly. NCBI's taxonomy places the organism in Eukaryota, Metazoa, Mollusca, Bivalvia, Venerida, Veneridae.
UACGUGAUAGCUCAGUUGGUAGAGCGGAGGACUGUAGAUCCUUAGGUCACUGGUUCGAAUCCGGUUCGCGGGACAUAA